Molecule: transfer RNA, 68 nt
Filed under: Lampsilis powellii
Lineage: Eukaryota; Metazoa; Mollusca; Bivalvia; Unionida; Unionidae
Description: tRNA-Pro
Source: RNAcentral
CAGAAAAUAGUUUAAUAUAAAAACAAAAACUUUGGGAGUUUUAAAUUUAGCCAUACUAAUUUUCUGAC